ACUUGGGGGUGCUCCCUUUGGGGGCUGAGAUGAUACCCAUUGAACCUGAUGCGGGUAAUGCCGACGAAGGGAGGUCAAU
RNAcentral lists this non-coding RNA (79 nucleotides) under bovine gut metagenome. RNAcentral describes it as "TPP riboswitch (THI element)". It matches the Rfam family "TPP riboswitch aptamer (THI element)", at positions 8 to 91 of the family's 105-position model. From Rfam's summary of the family: Vitamin B(1) in its active form thiamin pyrophosphate (TPP) is an essential coenzyme that is synthesised by coupling of pyrimidine and thiazole moieties in bacteria. The previously detected thiamin-regulatory element, thi box was extended, resulting in a new, highly conserved RNA secondary structure, the THI element, which is widely distributed in eubacteria and also occurs in some archaea. Analysis of operon structures identified a large number of new candidate thiamin-regulated genes, mostly transporters, in various prokaryotic organisms. The record is from RNAcentral.